UUUCCUGGAGACCAGUGGUGCUUUACAGGUGUAAUCCUGGAGCUCUGCACUAUACAAAAACAAAGACUAUGUGAUCUGGCCCGCUGUAAGGAGGAAGAAAAUGUCUUGCUUAAGAGAAAAUUAUUUAUUGAGAGCUUGCAUCUACACACCAAUGACAAAUCUUUUUUGAGGACAGAAUGGUAUCACGUAAAGGGAAAUCAAGUCAAGCCAAGAAGUCAUCCAACUACACUUGGUUCACCGUGAGAGAAUGUGAGCAUGCAAAUUUGUGAAGCUGUGGAUAAAGCUUUCUGCAUUCACCAAAGGAUGUAUGAGGAAGAGAAGACAGUUUAGUCUAUGCUGCUAAAAUAUUUAAAUGACAAUAACUAUAUUUCCAUCAUAUCACCAACAUAGGGUUGAAUUUUUUUUAAAUUUUGCCUCCUAUUACUUUCUGAUAAACUUGAAUCAAAAAUACAUAUUUCUUAUCCUUUAUUGUUAUAUUAUUUUAAUGAUAGAUACAAAUUAUUUUUUAAAAAUUGCAUGUUUCAAUUGAGCUGGAACAAAUGACCAAUAUAUAGUAAUUACUUCAAAUAGUAUGAAUUCAAAUCAUGUGACCACUUCCCAGAAUACAAUAUUUGCACUAGUUGGGACUUGGCCAGAAACGUUUGUUCAAUGACUGAGAGUACCACCUUGGUUUUAGUUAACCCUGGUACGGAACCUUGAACUUAUCCUUGAUGACCCCCAUAUUUAAUCAUUUGCAAAUUCUCCAUAAUACCUCCAUAAUACAUCAUCCAUGUGUCCCCUCCUCUCCACUCACAUGGCUACUAUCUUAGGUCAGGACCUCGUGACCACUCAUGUAAUAGUCUCUUAAUUGGAUUCCCUUCUACUCUUUUCUCUCUCUGAUCUACGUCCCCCCCCCCUUGCCAAAAUAGGUUUCCUAGAGCAUAAGUCUGAAGCAGUUUCAUUCCCCUACCUCCUUCACUGGCUCCGUAUUAAACUCUUCAGUGUAGCAUUUAAAGUCCCUCACAAUCUACCUCUAAUUUACCUUUCCAGAAUGACUUGACAUUAUUCCCUCUAAUGUACUCACUGUUCCAGCUGAGCUAGUCCAUUUGCUGUUACCUAAACUCUCUAAAGCUUGGCAGCUGAUCAGAUAUGGGGGGAGGGGUGGUAGUGUUAAGAAAGGUGAGUCAGAGAUGACACCGGUGUUGUGAAUCCCCUUGAAAUAACUAAAGAAAGUUUAGAGGAGUAGCAGGUUA
Non-coding RNA from Phascolarctos cinereus (koala), 1232 nucleotides. The record is from RefSeq and is a predicted model, not a curated record. NCBI's taxonomy places the organism in Eukaryota, Metazoa, Chordata, Mammalia, Diprotodontia, Phascolarctidae.